UAUGUAUUCCCUCCGUCCAAAAAAACUUGUCCGAACCUUGUUUUUCAAAUGGAUGUAUCUAGCACUAACUUGGUGCUAGAUACAUCUAUUUAAAAGAUAAGCUUUUUCGAACAGAGAGAAUACAAU
Triticum urartu is the source of this 126-nucleotide non-coding RNA. NCBI's taxonomy places the organism in Eukaryota, Viridiplantae, Streptophyta, Magnoliopsida, Poales, Poaceae. The record is from Rfam.